GGAGAGGUUUGGGGCAGGUGUGAGUGUGUGUGGGGUGAGGUGGGGAGGAGACAGAGAGCGGAUGAGGGAGAGACCCAGGCAGACACAGAGGACAGAGGGAGACAGAGAGGGGAGACAAAGAAGGGGACAAGGUUGGACAGGGAAGGGAGAGGCAGAGAGAGACACAACACACAGAAAAGGACGUAGAGAAGAAGAGAUGUUAAAACAGAGAAAGAGACAACAGAGACACAGAGACAGACAGACAUAGAGAAACACCAAGAUGUUCAUUCACCCGUGAGCACCUGCUGUGUGCCAGGCCCUGCACCCUCUGUAGAUAGGGCUGUUACCAAGACACCAUCCCUACCCUUGGAGCUCACCGAUCCAGAGACAGGAACUGAUGCUUUGAUGCAGCCAGAGGGAGAUGUUCCCUUCCCACUUGGAGUGACGGGGGCUUGCUCUCCAGGCCGGGGUCUCUUGGAAGCUGGUGACCUCUGGAGAGGGCCAUUGCACCCUUCCACCUGUCUCCAGGCUGCAUCCAUGCUCCACUCCCAGGAGGGUGUUUGCACAAACUGACUCCUGGUUGAAUGGCAUUCAGUCUCCCUAAUAGUUUGCUCACUGGUUGCCCACCAUGGUGCCUGAAUCUCCCACCAUUAUGGCGACCUUGGACCACUUACUUCACUUAAUAACUAUAUAGCUACAAAAUGCUUUCACAUACGUUAUUCACUUGAUCCUGUAUGGUAGAUAUCGUCACUACUCUUACUUUAUAGGAGGGGAAACUGAGAUCCCAAGGGAUGAAGUGCUUUGCCUGAGGUCACAUAGUCAUUUAGUGGCAAAGUCACUAAGGUCUUCUGAUUCCCAGCCCAGUGUUCUUCCUUCUGCUUAUAUCCCCAUCUGGGUCCAGACUUGUUUGUUUACAGGAAACAGAAACCUCCGCAAAUGAACUCUAGUAAGAUGGGGGAUGUAUUGGAAGGACAAUGAAAGGACUCCUGAGACCCAAGGCCUGGACUCAGAGCUGGUUCUUACAAGAGACUCCAUCGGGGCACUGAACUGAGAUCAGAAGCCCAGAAGACGGUGCUUUUUCUUUCUCUCUUUCUGGGACCACCUAGAGGCUCCUCUCUGCUUUUCUCUGCACACUGGCUCAGCUCACAGGAUUCAAAAAUGACCUUCAAGGAAGUCCUCUUUCUUUUUUGAUUCAAAUUCUCAAGAGAGAACCUGAUUGGCUCACCUAAAUCAAGUGUACAGUCCUGGUCCAAUCAACUGUGGCCGGGGGGAGAGGCUCCUUGCAUAUAAUGUGACUGAUUACUUGUGGCCAACUCUUCAGUAAUGGCUGCCAAAACAGGGGGUGUAGACAGGACAGGCAUCCCGAGUUAUCUACAUAAACACUCUCACUUCCGCCAUAGGGAUACCGAGAUCAUGCUUGCCUGCUUUCCAGGGCUGUUGUAAGGAGCUCAUACUUAUUGAAGGAGUUUGCAAACUAUCAAGCACCACAAAAGGGCCAGUUGUUAUUUAGGUUAAAGGGGGUAUCUUCAAGACAAAACACCACCCCUCACCUCCUUUGGCAAGAUCACGCCCUGACCCAAUGGGGCAGUGUGCAAGAAAAUUGUUAUUGAUGAGGGAGCAAAGUAAGAGUCUUUGCAGAUAUAAUUAGCUGAUAAGGUCUACCGGAUGGGAGUGGGCCCAGAAUCCGAUGACUGGUGUCCUUAUAAGAAGAGAAGAAGAGACACAGAGGGGAGAAGGCCACGUGAAGAUGGAGGUGGAGGUUGGGGCGACACCGCCAGAAGCCAAGGAAUGCCUGGAGCCACCAGCAGCUGGAAGAGCUAAAGCAAGCAAAUGGACAUAUCCAAAUUCAAGAAAGUGGAGAAGAGUGAUCCUACUAUGUGCUUGGAAAGAGAACCCAAAAUUCUUGGUAAGUGGCCUUAGAGAUUACCAUAAUUUCAUAGAUGUCAUUUUCUCCAGGGGCUCUUAAUUUUUUUCACAAAGCAGCUAUUGUUAAAACUGAGCAGGGAGAGCGAAUGGGAAGCUCAGCCCUCACAAUCAACCAGCUGCGCAACCUCGGGCAAGUUACUGAAGCUCGUUGACCUCGGUUUCCUCAUCUACGAAGUGGGGAAAAUAG
Long non-coding RNA from Equus caballus (horse), 2092 nucleotides. The record is from Ensembl. NCBI's taxonomy places the organism in Eukaryota, Metazoa, Chordata, Mammalia, Perissodactyla, Equidae.